UGGGUGGAGCUACACUACAACUAGCCGGUAGGGACAGGUGGGUGGAGCUACACUACAACUAGCCGGUAGGGACAGGUGGGUGGAGCUACACUACAACUAGCCGGUAGGGACAGGUGGGUGGAGCUACACUACAACUAGCCGGUAGGGACAGGUGGGUGGAGCUACACUACAACUAGCCGGUAGGGACAGGUGGGUGGAGCUACACUACAACUAGCCGGUAGGGACAGGUGGGUGGAGCUACACUACAGCUAGCCGGUAGGGACAGGUGGGUGGAGCUACACUACAGCUAGCCGGUAGGGACAGGUGGGUGGAGCUACACUACAACUAGCCGGUAGGGACAGGUGGGUGGAGCUACACUACAACUAGCCGGUAGGGACAGGUGGGUGGAGCUACACUACAACUAGCCGGUAGGGACAGGUGGGUGGAGCUACACUACAACUAGCCGGUAGGGACAGGUGGGUGGAGCUACACUAC
Long non-coding RNA from Oncorhynchus keta (chum salmon), 474 nucleotides. RefSeq lists it as uncharacterized. The transcript is spliced from 3 exons. NCBI's taxonomy places the organism in Eukaryota, Metazoa, Chordata, Actinopteri, Salmoniformes, Salmonidae. The record is from RefSeq and is a predicted model, not a curated record.